UUUCCGUAGGUGAACCUGCGGAAGGAUCAUUACCACGCGAUCCAAAACGCUCACUCCCUUAAUGAAAUUCUUGCAAGCGUUCACGCGCUUGUACUUAUCUCACACCUUUACCAAACCUACAACAACCCUACAACAACUACAAUCGGCAAGCUUUUUUGCGUGUCAAACUCAACACUUGACGUGCGAAAUACCAAAUAUCAAUGCUUUACAACUUUUAGCAACGGAUAUCUUGGCUCUUGCAUCGAUGAAGAACGCAGU
Molecule: unclassified non-coding RNA, 258 nt
Filed under: plant metagenome
Description: partial contains small subunit ribosomal RNA, internal transcribed spacer 1, and 5.8S ribosomal RNA
Rfam family: 5.8S ribosomal RNA (bases 210-258)
Source: RNAcentral